CACGUAGUUGGCCGGUGCUUCUUCUGCAGGUACCGUCACUUGCGCUUCGUCCCUGCUGAAAGAGGUUUACAACCCGAAGGCCGUCAUCCCUCACGCGGCGUUGCUGGAUCAGGCUUCCGCCCAUUGUCCAAUAUUCCCCACUGCUGCCUCCCGUAGGAGUCUGGGCCGUGUCUCAGUCCCAGUGUGGCCGGUCACCCUCUCAGGCCGGCUACCCGUCGAAGCCAUGGUGAGCCAUUACCUCACCAUCAAGCUGAUAGGCCGCGAGCACAUCCCUGGCCGAAAAACUUUCCACAACCAUCUCAUGCGAGAAGCUGUCAUAUCCGGUAUUAAUCACCGUUUCCGGUGGCUAUCCCAAAGCCAGGGGCAGAUUACUCACGUGUUACUCACCCGUUCGCCGCUCGAGUACCACCGAAGUGGCCUUUCCGCUCGACUUGCAUGUGUUAAGCACGCCGCCAGCGUUCGUCCUGAGCCAGGAUCAAACUCU
RNAcentral lists this ribosomal RNA (484 nucleotides) under uncultured Nocardioides sp. RNAcentral describes it as "partial 16S ribosomal RNA". The record is from RNAcentral. Lineage: Bacteria; Bacillati; Actinomycetota; Actinomycetes; Propionibacteriales; Nocardioidaceae.